CCUACGGGUGGCAGCAGUGAGGAAUAUUGGUCAAUGGACGGAAGUCUGAACCAGCCAUGCCGCGUGCAGGAAGACGGCUCUAUGAGUUGUAAACUGCUUUUGUACAAGGGUAAACCUGAAUACGUAUAUUCCUCUGAAAGUACUUUACGAAUAAGGAUCGGCUAACUCCGUUCCAGCAGCCGCGGUAAUACGGAGGAUCCAAGCGUUAGCCGGAUUUAUUGGGUUUAAAGGGUGCGUAGGCGGAUUGAUAAGUUAGAGGUGAAAUGUCCGAGCUUAACUCGGGAACUGCCUCUAAUACUGGUGAGCUAGAGAGUAGAUGCGGUAGGCGGAAUGUAUGGUGUAGCGGUGAAAGGCUUAGAGAUCAGACAGAACACCGAUUGCGAAGGCAGCUUACCAAGCAAUAUCUGACGUUGAGGCACGAAAGCGUGGGGAGCAAACAGGAUUAGAUACCCUUGUAGUC
This 460-nucleotide ribosomal RNA is filed under the name uncultured bacterium. RNAcentral describes it as "partial 16S ribosomal RNA". It matches the Rfam family "Bacterial small subunit ribosomal RNA", at positions 338 to 795 of the family's 1533-position model. The record is from RNAcentral.